Molecule: ribosomal RNA, 520 nt
Filed under: uncultured Glomus
Lineage: Eukaryota; Fungi; Glomeromycota; Glomeromycetes; Glomerales; Glomeraceae
Description: SSU rRNA
Rfam family: Eukaryotic small subunit ribosomal RNA
Source: RNAcentral
AGCAGCCGCGGUAAUUCCAGCUCCAAUAGCGUAUAUUAAAGUUGCUGCAGUUAAAAAGCUCGUAGUUGAAUUUCGGGACUAAUAUGUCGGUCGUGCCUCGGUACGUACUGGUUUAUUGGUUUCUCCUUUCUGAAGAACCAUGAUGUCAUUUAUUUGGUGUCGUGGGGAAUCAGGACUGUUACUUUGAAAAAAUUAGAGUGUUUAAAGCAGGCUCACGCUUGAAUACAUUAGCAUGGAAUAAUGAAAUAGGACGUUUGAUUCUAUUUUGUUGGUUUCUAGGAUCGACGUAAUGAUUAAUAGGGAUAGUUGGGGGCAUUAGUAUCCAAUUGUCAGAGGUGAAAUUCUUGGAUUUAUUGAAGACUAACUACUGCGAAAGCAUUUGCCAAGGAUGUUUUCAUUAAUCAAGAACGAAAGUUAGGGGAUCGAAGACGAUCAGAUACCGUCGUAGUCUUAACCAUAAACUAUGCCGACUAGGGAUCGGAUGAUGUUAAUUUUUAAUGACUCAUUCGGCGCCUUAACC